GGCGCGGUACGCAAACCGGUAAAGCGGCGGAGCUCAAACCUCCGUGAAAUGUCUGUGGGUUCGAUUCCCUCCCGCGCUAC
Molecule: transfer RNA, 80 nt
Filed under: Stieleria varia
Lineage: Bacteria; Pseudomonadati; Planctomycetota; Planctomycetia; Pirellulales; Pirellulaceae
Also listed under: 1 other name
Description: Planctomycetes bacterium Pla52n tRNA-Leu
Rfam family: tRNA
About the family: Transfer RNA (tRNA) molecules are approximately 80 nucleotides in length. Their secondary structure includes four short double-helical elements and three loops (D, anti-codon, and T loops).
Source: RNAcentral